GACGAACGCUGGCGGCGUGCUUAACACAUGCAAGUCGAACGGAAAGGCCCUGCUUUUGUGGGGUGCUCGAGUGGCGAACGGGUGAGUAACACGUGAGUAACCUGCCCUUGACUUUGGGAUAGCUUCAGGAAACUGGGGCUAAUACCGGAUAGGAUCUCCUGCUGCAUGGUGGGGGUUGGAAAGUUUCGGCGGUUGGGGGUGGACUCGCGGCUUAUCAGCUUGUUGGUGGGGUAGUGGCUUACCCAGGCUUUGACGGGUAGCCGGCCUGGGAGGGUGACCGGCCCCAUGGGGCCAGGGGACGGGGCAGGACCCCAGCGGGGGGAAGGGGGGGGAGAUAUUCGAAAAAGGGCGGAGGGCGGGAGGAAGAACGCCGGGUCGGGAAAGGCGGCUUUGGGGGGAGAAACCAUUUGUCCGUGGGAAGAAGCGGGAGGAAGGUAAAUGGUUAAAAAGGCACGGCCAAAUAAGGG
RNAcentral lists this ribosomal RNA (467 nucleotides) under uncultured bacterium. RNAcentral describes it as "partial 16S ribosomal RNA". It matches the Rfam family "Bacterial small subunit ribosomal RNA", at positions 28 to 507 of the family's 1533-position model. The record is from RNAcentral.